Molecule: transfer RNA, 85 nt
Filed under: Felis catus (domestic cat)
Lineage: Eukaryota; Metazoa; Chordata; Mammalia; Carnivora; Felidae
Also listed under: 2 other names
Rfam family: tRNA
About the family: Transfer RNA (tRNA) molecules are approximately 80 nucleotides in length. Their secondary structure includes four short double-helical elements and three loops (D, anti-codon, and T loops). Further hydrogen bonds mediate the characteristic L-shaped molecular structure. tRNAs have two regions of fundamental functional importance: the anti-codon, which is responsible for specific mRNA codon recognition, and the 3' end, to which the tRNAs corresponding amino acid is attached (by aminoacyl-tRNA synthetases). tRNAs cope with the degeneracy of the genetic code in two manners: having more than one tRNA (with a specific anti-codon) for a particular amino acid; and 'wobble' base-pairing, i.e. permitting non-standard base-pairing at the 3rd anti-codon position.
Source: Rfam by way of RNAcentral
GCCUGGGUGGCUCAGUCGGUUAAGCAUCCGACCUGGGCUCGGGUCACGAUCUCGCAGUCUGUGAGUUCAAGCCCCGCCCCAGCCA